GUAACUAACACACUUCCAUCACAGGUAACAUGUUACACCUACACAGGUAACUAACACACUUCCAUCACAGGUAACAUCUUACACCUACACAGGUAACUAACACACUUCCAUCACAGGUAACAUGUUACACCUACACAGGUAACUAACACACUUCCAUCACAGGUAGUUAUUACAUGUUUUUGUCCUGACAUGUGAACACCUUUACAUGUUAUAUGUUUCAGACUCAGAAUACUCCAGGAUUCUGCUCCACGCCUGGGUUCCUCUGCUUCCUGCCUGGAGGUGUAAAAAGAAAUAUGGUGAUCGUUUCACAGGACGCAUGCUGUGUGCAGGGAGCCUGUCAGAGCGCCACCGUGUGGACAGUUGCCAGGGCGACAGUGGGGGUCCUCUGGUUUGUCAGGGGGAGGGAGGCCGCUGGGUACUGACGGGGGUGAUCUCAUGGGGUCAUGGAUGUGGAAACCCAUCGUUUCCUGGAGUGUACACACGUGUCAGCAGGUUCCUGCGAUGGAUUGAUAAGAUAAUCAAUAAACCCUACAAGAGCUGAAGACAGAGGAAGACACAAAACACUAACAGGGGCGGCUUUAAAUAACUAAGACUGAAGAUGGUUGAACAGUCAGUAUGAACACUAGGGGGCACUAAAUUGACAAGGUGAUCAACAAACUGUACAAGACCUGAAGAAGAAACACUGAGGGGCACAAACUUUACAUAACUGAGGAGUUAAUGGUUUCACAACAUUGUGAUAAGACAAUGUGAAAACAAACAAUGGGACACCAAUAUAACAAUGUUUGGCGGAUUCAAUAUAAAAACAAAAAACAAAGGUGGAGUGAGAGUGGAACGUGGUUACGGUGCUGCGGUGGACUGGAGAUGUAAAGGAGUCUAGUCUCAGAGCUCUAACAGUCUCUCUCUGUAUAUGAAGCCUGAUGCUCAUGAUUCUGUGCUGGGUCAUCUCAACUCUUAAUUUUGUUUUCUCACUGCAAUAAGCCUGUAAAUGUGUAUUAACAUGUAAAUGUGUAUGAAUGAGUUAUCUGAUAUUUCAAACUGGUUUUGAUGAAAAAAGCAGUGGAAUAAAAAGGUUUACAAAGCUCA
Molecule: non-coding RNA, 1083 nt
Organism: Labrus bergylta (ballan wrasse)
Lineage: Eukaryota; Metazoa; Chordata; Actinopteri; Labriformes; Labridae
Source: RefSeq, a predicted model, not a curated record